AGUGAACGCUGGCGGUAGGCCUAACACAUGCAAGUCGAACGGCAGCACAGUAAGAGCUUGCUCUUACGGGUGGCGAGUGGCGGACGGGUGAGGAAUACAUCGGAAUCUACUUUUUCGUGGGGGAUAACGUAGGGAAACUUACGCUAAUACCGCAUACGACCUACGGGUGAAAGCAGGGGAUCUUCGGACCUUGCGCGAUUGAAUGAGCCGAUGUCGGAUUGGCUAGUUGGCGGGGUAAAGGCCCACCAAGGCGACGAUCCGUAGCUGGUCUGAGAGGAUGAUCAGCCACACUGGAACUGAGACACGGUCCAGACUCCUACGGGAGGCAGCAGUGGGGAAUAUUGGACAAUGGGCGCAAGCCUGAUCCAGCCAUACCGCGUGGGUGAAGAAGGCCUUCGGGUUGUAAAGCCCUUUUGUUGGGAAAGAAAAGCAGCAGGUUAAUACCCCGCUGUUCCGACGGUACCCAAAGAAUAAGCACCGGCUAACUUCGUG
Molecule: ribosomal RNA, 492 nt
Filed under: uncultured bacterium
Lineage: Bacteria
Description: partial 16S ribosomal RNA
Rfam family: Bacterial small subunit ribosomal RNA
Source: RNAcentral